This 473-nucleotide ribosomal RNA is filed under the name uncultured bacterium. RNAcentral's name for it is "bacterial SSU rRNA". It matches the Rfam family "Bacterial small subunit ribosomal RNA", at positions 335 to 797 of the family's 1533-position model. The record is from RNAcentral.
ACUCCUACGGGAGGCAGCAGUGGGGAAUAUUGCACAAUGGGGGAAACCCUGAUGCAGUCAUGCCGCGUGUGUGAAGAAGGCCUUCGGGUUGUAAAGCACUUUCAGUAGGGAGGAAGGUAGUGUAGUUAACACCUGCACUAUUUGACGUUACCUACAGAAGAAGCACCGGCUAACUCCGUGCCAGCAGCCGCGGUAAUACGGAGGGUGCGAGCGUUAAUCGGAAUUACUGGGCGUAAAGCGCAUGCAGGCGGCCUGUUAAGUCAGAUGUGAAAGCCCGGGGCUUAACCUCGGAAUUGCAUUUGAAACGUGGUAGGCUAGAGUCUUGUAGAGGGGGGUAGAAUUUCAGGUGUAGCGGUGAAAUGCGUAGAGAUNUGAAGGAAUACCAGUGGCGAAGGCGGCCCCCCUGGACAAAGACUGACGCUCAGAUGCGAAAGCGUGGGGAGCAAACAGGAUUAGAUACCCUGGGUAGACAU